RNAcentral lists this ribosomal RNA (494 nucleotides) under uncultured bacterium. RNAcentral's name for it is "partial 16S ribosomal RNA". It matches the Rfam family "Bacterial small subunit ribosomal RNA", at positions 28 to 507 of the family's 1533-position model. The record is from RNAcentral.
GAUGAACGCUGGCGGCGUGCUUAACACAUGCAAGUCGAACGGUGAAGCGCCUUCCUUUUUGGUGGGUGGGGAGGAGCGGCGAACGGGGGAACAACACGAGAGUAACCUGCCCCCUUUGGCUGGAUAACCGCAAGAAAGCGUGGCUAAUACGGGAUAUUCUGGAUCGCUCGCUUGAUGGGUCUGGGACAGAUAUUGUUUCGGUGGUGGAUGGGCUCGCGGCGUAUCAGCUUGUUGGUGGGGUGAUGGCCUACCAAGGCGGUGAUGGGUAGCCGGCCUGAGAGGGUGGGCGGUCCUACUGGGAAUGCGACACGGACCAGACUCCGACGGGAGGCAGCAGUGGGGAAUAUUGAACAGUGGGGGGAAGCAUGAUGCAGCGACGCCGCGUGAGGGAUGGAGGCCUUCGGGUUGUGAACCUCUUUCGCGAGUGAAGCAGGCCUGCCUCGUUUGUGGGUGGGUUGACGGUAGCUGGAUAAGAAGCGCCGGCUAACUACGUG